CCUACGGGGAGCAGCAGUGGGGGAUAUUGCACAAUGGGGGAAACCCUGAUGCCUCGACGCCGCGUGAGGGAAGAAGUAUUUCGGUAUGUAAAGCUCUAUCCGCAGGGAAGAAACUGGCAGUACCUUACCAAGACGCCCCAGCUAACUACUUUCCAUCAGCCGCGGUAAUACGUAGGGGGCAAGCGUUAUCCGGAUUUACUGGGUGUAAAGGGAUCGUUGACGUUUAUGUAAGCAUGGGGGGAAAGCCCGGGGCCAAACACCGGAAGUGCCUUGGAAGGUGGGUAACUGGAGUACAGGAGGGGCAGGCGGAAUUUCUGGUGGAGCGGUGAAAUGCGUAGAUAUCAGGAGGAACACCGGAGGCGAAGGCGGCCUGCUGGACCGAAACUGACGUUGAGGCUCGAAAGCGUGGGGAGCAAACAGGAUUAGAUACCCGAGUAGUC
This 440-nucleotide ribosomal RNA is filed under the name uncultured bacterium. RNAcentral describes it as "partial 16S ribosomal RNA". It matches the Rfam family "Bacterial small subunit ribosomal RNA", at positions 338 to 795 of the family's 1533-position model. The record is from RNAcentral.